Molecule: ribosomal RNA, 433 nt
Filed under: uncultured bacterium
Lineage: Bacteria
Description: partial 16S ribosomal RNA
Rfam family: Bacterial small subunit ribosomal RNA
Source: RNAcentral
AACGAACGCUGGCGGCAUGCCUAACACAUGCAAGUCGAACGAGGCCUUCGGGUCUAGUGGCGCACGGGUGCGUAACGCGUGGGAACCUGCCCUUAGGUUCGGAAUAACUCCCCGAAAGGGGUGCUAAUACCGGAUAAUGUCUUCGGACCAAAGAUUCAUCGCCUUUGGAUGGGCCCGCGUUGGAUUAGCUAGUUGGUAGGGUAAAAGCCUACCAAGGCGACGAUCCAUAGCUGGUCUGAGAGGAUGAUCAGCCACACUGGGACUGAGACACGGCCCAGACUCCUACGGGAGGCAGCAGUGGGGAAUAUUGGACAAUGGGCGAAAGCCUGAUCCAGCAAUGCCGCGUGAGUGAUGAAGGCCUUAGGGUUGUAAAGCUCUUUUACCCGGGAUGAUAAUGACAGUACCGGGAGAAUAAGCUCCGGCUAACUCCGUG